This is a long non-coding RNA of Orcinus orca (killer whale), 1670 nucleotides long. RefSeq lists it as uncharacterized. Lineage: Eukaryota; Metazoa; Chordata; Mammalia; Artiodactyla; Delphinidae. The record is from RefSeq and is a predicted model, not a curated record. The transcript has 3 exons.
GGAAGGUGUUGCUCGAGGCCGGACUCGAGGAGGCGAGACGGGUGAGCAAAGGCCGCUAGAGCCCAGGGUUCCAAGAGGUCUGGGGCGGCGGCAGGCCCCUUGCAGUUACCCUGGUGUUGAGGAGGGUCGGUCGCUGCCUCGCCCAGCCUGCUGCUGAACCCGCUGAUGCCCAGGCCACCCGCCUGCAUCUUGAUCACCGACUUGAGCUCGUGAUUCUCCCGAAGGAGCCGCACCAGCUUCUUCAGUUCCUCAUUUUCCCGCACCAGCCUCUCGAUCUGAUGGCGAAGCCCCUCGUAAUUGAGCACAGGCUCCGGACGCGCAGGCUCAGCGACCGUGGCUCACGGGCCCAGCUGCUCCGUGGCAUGUGGGAUCUUUCCGGACCGGGGCACGAACCCGCGUCCCCUGCAUCGGCAGGCGGACUCUCAACCACUGCGCCACCAGGGAAGCCCCCCUGUGACGUAUUUGGCCAGCCUUUUCUGCCUGGUCCUAGGAAAGUGUCUCUUCUCUCCUCCCUUCUUCAGCAGAUCAGAAAUAAAGACUUUCCCAAACCCAGUGUCCUUAGAAUCUGCUGUUUGUGCCCUGGGUUUGUGACCCGAGGACUCGCUAGAGCUAAGCUCAUUUGCUUGGUGGUGAUGAUGGACACCUGCUUGGGCUGACCAACGCUUAGACUCCCCGUGACAGUCCUCUCCUCCUAGCGUCUUGCACCACAGUGUUUAGGCUGAUGUCCCGCAGCUGGGAUACUCUGACCCCAGAACCCCUCUUUGGCCAGUCUGGGUCCUUGAGCCCCAGCUUGAGGAAUUUCAUGCUACAGUUUAUGAUGUAGAUGAGUACCUUCUCUGGUGCACUCUCUUAAUUUGUCGUGUUACUGAAAAAUCUGGUUAUAGGAGGGAAUCCUAAAAAAAUACGGUUUGCUAAAAUGCUUGUUUUGAAAAUGUGAAUUUGUUUCAACAUGGUUGAUAUAUUUAGGAGCAGUUUGAACAUAAGGCAAAUUCCGUUUGUUUACGUGCAAUUUUGUUUAUGAGAAAUGGGUGAAAACAGAAAGCAAAAACUGCACCCAGAUGAAUGGACCACAGCAACAUAGGAACGUGCAAAACACACACACCUCAGACAUCUGCCAGUGCCUCAGUUCACUGCCUCCUCUCUGUGCUGAGCCACACCUCGCCACAUCCGGGUCACAACUUCCCAUCCGAUUUCAGACAACUCACUUCAUAGUAACCCACAAGCCACGACCCUGCCCCCGCCCACUUCUAUAAACUGGCUUCAGGUCUUCUUCAAGGCAAAUGCCAUAUUUAUUGUAGUAUUUUUGGUAUUUCUUAACCAUGUAACAUAUGUAAAACUGUGCUGUCGUUUUUAUUAGGUUGUUGAGACUUCUUAAAUAUUUCAUUGAUGACGUUUUGAGUACUGUGCCUCUAGCCUCAUUUUCCUCAAAAGUCUUGUGGCUUUUCUUGUGCUGGUUGGACACACCUGAGCUGCCGCUGGACUCUGGUAGUUACUGAACCUCCGAGAGCGACAGGCUCCUCAUCUGUGAAGCCUCCCGAAUGUUCAUUUGUCCAUUCGGCACCCGAGGACUCGGGCACGUCUGUCUGUGUGCAGAUGCAUGCCAAGCUCUGGGCACACGGUGUGGACGAGACCACUGCUCCAGCAGAGACGCAUCGAACGAGGGCCACAAA